AACGCACAUUGCGCCCUUUGGCAUUCCGAAGGGCAUGCCUGUCCGAGCGUCAUUAUCCUCCCUCAAACCCCCGGGUUUGGUGUUGGACCGCGUUGGCCCUUAACCGGCCAACUGGUCUCAAAGACAAUGACGGCGUCCCCGGGACCCUCUUUGCACUGAGCUUUUCGGAGCACGCAGGGAGUUUCAAGGGCCCAGGGACCCGGUCGCCUCUAAACUAUUUUUCAGGUUGACCUCGGAUCAGGUAGGAAUACCCGCUGAACUUAA
This 264-nucleotide unclassified non-coding RNA is filed under the name uncultured Trichomeriaceae. Its description in RNAcentral is "sequence contains ITS2". The record is from RNAcentral. Lineage: Eukaryota; Fungi; Ascomycota; Eurotiomycetes; Chaetothyriales.